AUUGAACGCUGGCGGCAGGCCUAACACAUGCAAGUCGAGCGGAAGAAGGGAGCUUGCUCCUGGAUUCAGCGGCGGACGGGUGGGUAAUGCCUAGGAAUCUGCCUGGUCGUGGGGGAUAACGUCCGGAUACGGGCGCUAAUACCGCAUACGUCCUGAAGGAGAAUGUGGGGGAUCUUCGGACCGCGCGCUAUCAGCUGAGCCUAGGUCGGAUUAGCUAGUUGGUGGGGUAAAGGCCUACCAAGGCGACGAUCCGUAACUGGUCUGAGAGGAUGAUCAGUCACACUGGAACUGAGACACGGUCCAAACUCCUACGGGAAGCAGCAGUGAGGAAUAUUGGACAAUGGGCGAAAGCCUGAUGCAGCCAUGCCGCGUGUGUGAAGAAGGUCUUCGGAUUGUAAAACACUUUAAGUUGGGAGGAAGAGCAGUAAGUUAAUACCAGGCUGUUAUGACGGUACCAACAGAAUAAGCAACGGCUAACUUCGUG
This 484-nucleotide ribosomal RNA is filed under the name uncultured bacterium. RNAcentral describes it as "partial 16S ribosomal RNA". It matches the Rfam family "Bacterial small subunit ribosomal RNA", at positions 30 to 507 of the family's 1533-position model. The record is from RNAcentral.